Molecule: ribosomal RNA, 301 nt
Filed under: uncultured bacterium
Lineage: Bacteria
Description: partial 16S ribosomal RNA
Rfam family: Bacterial small subunit ribosomal RNA
Source: RNAcentral
CAGUCGGCCGCGGUAAUACAGAGGGUGCGAGCGUUAAUCGGAUUUACUGGGCGUAAAGCGUGCGUAGGCGGCUUCUUAAGUCGGAUGUGAAAUCCCUGAGUUUAACUUAGGAAUUGCAUUCGAUACUGGGAAGCUAGAGUAUGGGAGAGGAUGGUAGAAUUCCAGGUGUAGCAGUGAAAUGCGUAGAGAUCGGAAGGAACAUCUGUGGCGAAGGCGACUAUCUGGGCCAACACUGACACUGAGGCACGAAAGCGUGGGGAGCAAACAGGAUUAGAUACCCGAGUAGUCCCUGUCUCUUAUA